UACGGAGGGUGCGAGCGUUGUUCGGAAUCACUGGGCGUAAAGGGCGUGUAGGCGGUCCGCUAAGUCUGGUGUGAAAGCCCGGGGCUUACCCCCGGAAGUGCACUGGAAACUGGCGAACUCGAGUCCCGGAGAGGAGAGUGGAAUUCCUGGUGUAGCGGUGAAAUGCGUAGAUAUCAGGAGGAACACCGGUGGCGAAGGCGGCUCUCUGGACGGUGACUGACGCUGAGACGCGAAAGCGUGGGGAG
This 245-nucleotide ribosomal RNA is filed under the name uncultured bacterium. RNAcentral's name for it is "partial 16S ribosomal RNA". It matches the Rfam family "Bacterial small subunit ribosomal RNA", at positions 524 to 768 of the family's 1533-position model. The record is from RNAcentral.